Molecule: long non-coding RNA, 1417 nt
Filed under: Capsicum annuum
Lineage: Eukaryota; Viridiplantae; Streptophyta; Magnoliopsida; Solanales; Solanaceae
Description: long non-coding RNA (CANN_LNC004340)
Source: RNAcentral
GCUUUAAAAGGAAGGGGGUGUGAGGUAGUGAGGCAUAUUAUGUAGCAUGAGUCUAGGCGUUAGUCUCGUGAAUCUAUUAAGCAUGUCUUAUGUAUCUUUAAUUUUAUAAUUUUAUUGCUAAAAAAAUAAACAAAUAUAAAAUUUUCAUAAUUCUAUUAACAAUUCUAAUUCUUCUUUCCGCUUUUCCAUCUUCCUUCGGUACUGAUUUUAGGUAAGUUUCCAAUUCAAGGAUCGCUGCCCCUAACCCAAAUUUUUGCCAUGCAAAAAUCAAAAAUUAUUUACUGCAUAGUUGAUACGGGAAUAAUCUCGGAGAUGAACUUAGAAGAGUAUGUGUUAGACCCGAGCCUUGGCAUGUGCAAUUAAAGUGUAAAAGAGGCCCAAAAUGCACCCAAAUCAGUCCAUAAAUUACACUAGAUAGGUGCCCACUCUUUGAAGGGCCUUUUGGUCAUUUUAACUUAUAUUUUGUAUUAGUUAUAAAAGAAACAUUGUAGGAUUUUUAGAUUUAGUUUUUGAUGAUAUGUGUGAAUCUUGAAAGACCAAAGAACACAAGUCCUCUCUCCUCGAGGCACCAAAACUGAAACUAGGAUACAACAAUAGGGUGGAUUCUCUUUUGUUGUUGCUUGCUUGGAAACGUUGAUGCUAGAGAGGUGCAAUCCGAUCUUGUGUCACGUAAGAGAUAGGUUUAUUGUUAUGUGUAGUGUUAAGGGUCCAAGAGUGUCUAAGAUUAUACCUUUAUGUGGUUUAUCUAUCUAUCUAUCCCUUUACUUUCUUGUAAUCGUGUUUAGUGUUUGUGUUGUAAUCUUGUGUUAUUGUUGUUAUUGUUAAAUCCGAAUCUUGUGCCUUGUGUUCAUCUUGUUCUUCGCAUAUUGUUGUUGUUUUGGUGUGAAAUACACCUUGCUCACCUUGUAUUCUUGUUGUAUUUGUGAAUCCGAGAGAGGUCUCCAAUCGGUCCAAGGAUCUUAGUGAUUUGUGGACUGUUUUGGAAUAUAUUUGUGGACUGUUUUUGAGUGAUUUCACGUCUUUCAAGUUUUUAUCGUAUCAGUAGUGUUAUAAAUCUAGUCACAGUAAAGGAUUCAUGUGAGAAUGUGUCAAAUUAUAUUUAGGAUCCUGAGCAUUUGCUCAUAGUUGUUGGGAAAAUACAAAAUAAUCCCACCCAGGAUAAUAUCCACACAAAUAGCAAUAACAAGAGAGUAACAACGACAUCAAAUAUUAUAACGGGGUAAACAAAAUAUCCAAAUGAAGUAAUACAAUAACACUAUUUUUGGUAGUGUCAAAAGACUAUUACUAUUAUAAAAGAAACAACACUCUUUUAUUUUAUACAACUCACUUUAAUAUUACUCUGACACAAUUAUCUCAUAGACUAUAAAAUAUCUGUGGAUUACUCUUUUUUUUUUCCUCUUUAUUGCUCUCUCUCAAU